AUACGGAGGGUGCAAGCGUUAUUCGGAAUCACUGGGCGUAACGGGUGCGUAGGCGGUUUGAUAAGUCUGAUGUGAAAUCCUAUGGCUCAACCAUAGAACUGCAUUGGAAACUGUCAGACUAGAAUACUGAAGGGGCAGAUGGAAUUAGUGGUGUAGGGGUAAAAUCCGUAGAUAUCACUAGGAAUACCGAAAGCGAAAGCGAUCUGCUGGGAAGUUAUUGACGCUGAGGCACGAAAGCGUGGGGAGCAAACGGGAUUAGAAACCCUAGUAGUCC
Molecule: ribosomal RNA, 274 nt
Filed under: uncultured bacterium
Lineage: Bacteria
Description: partial 16S ribosomal RNA
Rfam family: Bacterial small subunit ribosomal RNA
Source: RNAcentral